Molecule: ribosomal RNA, 484 nt
Filed under: uncultured bacterium
Lineage: Bacteria
Description: partial 16S ribosomal RNA
Rfam family: Bacterial small subunit ribosomal RNA
Source: RNAcentral
AUUGAACGCUGGCGGCAGGCCUAACACAUGCAAGUCGAGCGGAUGAAGGGAGCUUGCUCCUGGAUUCAGCGGCGGACGGGUGAGUAAUGCCUAGUAAUCUGCCUGGUAGUGGGGGAUAACGUCCGGAAACGGGCGCUAAUACCGCAUACGUCCUGAGGGAGAAAGUGGGGGGUCUUCGGACCUCACGCUAUCAGAUGAGCCUAGGUCGGAUUAGCUAGUUGGUGGGGUAAAGGCCUACCAAGGCGACGAUCCGUAACUGGUCUGAGAGGAUGAUCAGUCACACUGGAACUGAGACACGGUCCAGACUCCUACGGGAGGCAGCAGUGGGGAAUAUUGGACAAUGGGCGAAAGCCUGAUCCAGCCAUGCCGCGUGUGUGAAGAAGGUCUUCGGAUUGUAAAGCACUUUAAGUUGGGAGGAAGGGCAGUAAGUUAAUACCUUGCUGUUUUGACGUUACCAACAGAAUAAGCACCGGCUAACUUCGUG